This 492-nucleotide ribosomal RNA is filed under the name uncultured bacterium. RNAcentral describes it as "partial 16S ribosomal RNA". It matches the Rfam family "Bacterial small subunit ribosomal RNA", at positions 29 to 507 of the family's 1533-position model. The record is from RNAcentral.
AGUGAACGCUGGCGGUAGGCCUAACACAUGCAAGUCGAACGGCAGCACAGUAAGAGCUUGCUCUUACGGGUGGCGAGUGGCGGACGGGUGAGGAAUACAUCGGAAUCUACUUUUUCGUGGGGGAUAACGUAGGGAAACUUACGCUAAUACCGCAUACGACCUACGGGUGAAAGCAGGGGAUCUUCGGACCUUUCGCGAUUGAAUGAGCCGAUGUCGGAUUAGCUAGAUGGCGGGGUAAAGGCCCACCAAGGCGACGAUCCGUAGCUGGUCUGAGAGGAUGAUCAGCCACACUGGAACUGAGACACGGUCCAGACUCCUACGGGAGGCAGCAGUGGGGAAUAUUGGGCAAUGGGCGAAAGCCUGAUCCAGCCAUACCGCGUGGGUGAAGAAGGCCUUCGGGUUGUAAAGCCCUGUUGUUGGGAAAGAAAAGCAGCAGGUUAAUACGCCGCUGUUCUGACGGUACCCAAAGAAUAAGCACCGGCUAACUUCGUG